CUAAUUUGAUUUGACUAUCUAACAUUUUAAAAAUUUAAUUUUAGUAUUAAAUAAUUUAAUAAUUUUUCAAGUACAUAAUUUAAACUAAUUAUUUAUUUUAAUAAAAAUACUAAUUGACUCAAAUCAUUAAUUAAAAUGUUAAAUUAUAAAGUUAAAAUUUUAAAAAUUUUGAUUUUCAUAUUAAAAUUUAAAAUUGAUGAUAGCCGAGAUAAGUUAUUUAUAUUUUUAUAACCUAGCUGCUAUAUUCUUAUGAGUACAAUCGUGUUCGCACUCAUAAGUUAUUUUCGAUUAUUGUACUUUCGAAUCAACGAUUUAUACCGUUAAGAAUGAUUUAGAGCAUUCGAAACUUUUAAAAAUCAAAUUUCAUAAUUUUUUUGGCCUCAUUUACCUUACAAUCAAAAAAUCUCAAAAUUGAUAACUUUUAACGGCUGGGAUGGUAUACGUGCUAAUUUAAUAGUGUAAAAAAAUCAGAAGUGGUUGAAUUUUUGAUAGAAAAUUCUAUUUUACUAUCUAAAUAAAGAUCAACAAUCUUGAUCUUAAAUUGAAGAAUUCGUGUGACGCCCCAUUUUCCAGGGGUUAUCCACCUAGGAUUAGUAUAGUCCUAGCAUGCUUAACUCUCUUAAUCUCUUAGACCUAACCACCGCCUAAGCCGGUUAACCAAUGCCCAAAAUGAUAUAAUCGGGUUAAAAAUUUUAAGCGUGCUAAAACUAGAGUAGUUUUAUGAUGGAUAACCCUAUGAGAAGUAGGACGUCAUAGUUGGUAUUAGAGUCAAUUAUCAGCUGAAAGUGUAAGAUGAGUUUUAAAUGAGGUAAGUUAUAUAGUGGGGAGAGCGAGGCUUUCAUGCUUGUAACUGUUGUUAGAAAAGCAUGGCUCCUCCACAAGGUCAGUUAAGACUAGCAAGACGAGUCUCAUUUCGCCUGAUACUUGUAGGUCUGAGCCUGACGAGAACGUCGGGGCUUAAAAGGUGAAAGAUUGUAAGACUCUAAUCUUAUAUAUAAGAUAUAAUAGAACUAAAAACUCUUAACCUGGCUAUAAUAUUUUAGGCGGUGACUAGACCCAUUAGGUUAAGAGAGUUAAGCAUAUGAGGACUAAAGUACUUCUAGGAUGGAUGACGACUCUCUAGG
RNAcentral lists this long non-coding RNA (1124 nucleotides) under Ananas comosus (pineapple). Its description in RNAcentral is "long non-coding RNA (ACOM_LNC027367)". Lineage: Eukaryota; Viridiplantae; Streptophyta; Magnoliopsida; Poales; Bromeliaceae. The record is from RNAcentral.